Molecule: ribosomal RNA, 959 nt
Filed under: Geastrum elegans
Lineage: Eukaryota; Fungi; Basidiomycota; Agaricomycetes; Geastrales; Geastraceae
Description: eukaryotic LSU rRNA
Rfam family: Eukaryotic large subunit ribosomal RNA
Source: RNAcentral
UUUGACCUCAAAUCAGGUAGGAUUACCCGCUGAACUUAAGCAUAUCAAUAAGCGGAGGAAAAGAAACUAACGAGGAUUCCCUUAGUAACGGCGAGUGAAGAGGGAUGAGCUCAAAUUUGAAAUCUGGCGGCCUACGGUCGUCCGAGUUGUAAUCUAGAGAAGUGUUUUCCGCGCUGGACCGUGUACAAGUCCUUUGGAACAAGGCGUCAUAGAGGGUGAGAAUCCCGUCUACGACACGGACUACCAGUGCUUUGUGAUACACUCUCGACGAGUCGAGUUGUUUGGGAAUGCAGCUCAAAAUGGGUGGUAAAUUCCAUCUAAAGCUAAAUACAGGCGAAAGACCGAUAGCGAACAAGUACCGUGAGGGAAAGAUGAAAAGCACUUUGGAAAGAGAGUUAAACAGUACGUGAAAUUGUUAAAAGGGAAACGCUUGAAGUCAGUCGCGUCUUCAGAAACUCAGCCUGGCUUCUGCCUGGUGUACUUUUCUGUUGGACGGGCCAGCAUCAGUUUUGGCGGUCAGAAAAAGGUCAGAGGAAGGUGGCACCUCCGGGUGUGUUAUAGCCUCUGAUCGUAUGUGACGGCUGGGACUGAGGACUGCAGCACGCCUUUAUUGGCCGGGGUUCGCCCACGUAACGUGCUUAGGAUGCUGGCGUAAUGGCUUUAAACGACCCGUCUUGAAACACGGACCAAGGAGUCUAACAUGCCUGCGAGUAUUUGGGUGGUAAACUCAUAUGCGGAAUGAAAGUGAACAGUUGGGACUCCUGUCAUGGGAGGCACCGACGCCCGGACCAGAUCUAUUGUGACGGAUCCGAGGUAGAGCAUGUAUGUUGGGACCCGAAAGAUGGUGAACUAUGCCUGAGUAGGGUGAAGCCAGAGGAAACUCUGGUGGAGGCUCGUAGCGAUUCUGACGUGCAAAUCGAUCGUCGAACUUGGGUAUAGGGGCGAAAGACUAAUCGAAC